Molecule: non-coding RNA, 2525 nt
Organism: Nothobranchius furzeri (turquoise killifish)
Lineage: Eukaryota; Metazoa; Chordata; Actinopteri; Cyprinodontiformes; Nothobranchiidae
Source: RefSeq, a predicted model, not a curated record
GGGGAGGGGGUUAAUGUCUUUCAGGGUUGAUGAACCUAAAUAGCUCUUGGUUAGAAUGAGCUAUUUGAAAAAAGCCCACCUGCAAAACAAAAAGUAAGUCAUUUGCUUUGUGAGCUGUCUCCGUGCCGACUUGACGGUUAGAAUGAGCUAUUUGAAACAAGCCCACCUGCAGACAAAAUAAUGGUAGGGUAGUGCAUUAUAAUGGCUUCAGUUUGCUGCAGCGUCAGACUGAUGUGGUUCUGCUCCCUGGUGAUGUGGCUGGGAGCGUUCCUUGUGAUGAACUGUACGAUCAUAUCUGAGAUGUUAAAAUACCGGGCUAAUGGUAAGACAUUAAAGGUUUGUGAUAGCACAUCCACACUUCUUCCUCUUGGCUUGGUGCUUCAUCCAUCUCCUCUUGCUUCAUCAUUUUCUUAGAGGUAUUUCUUUGGCUUUUCACCAUUCGGACACGAUCUGAGCUUUUAAAGAGGGGAUCGGGUAUGAAAGGGAGGGGGCUGUGGGAACUGCCGGGCUAACACAAAAGGAUUACACUCAGUCAUUUUCUUAACUAUGAAAGGGAGGGGCUGUGGGAACUACGGGGCUAACACAAAAGGAAACUUCACGCGCCAUUACACCCAUUAGGCUAAGGAAGGGGGGCCAAGGCCAUCUGGUCAUUGAACAAUACACCUGUCCAUUUGAUUGAUUCAUCAUUUUCUUAGAGGUAUUUCUUUGGCUUUUCACCAUUCGGACACGAUCUGAGCUUUUAAAGAGGAGAUCAGGGUAUGAAAGGGAGGGGCUGUGGGCACUGCGGGGCUAACACAAAAGGAUUACACUCAGUCAUUUUCUUAACUAUGAAAGGGAGGGGCUGUGGGAACUACGGGGCUAACACUAGGGCUGCAACAAAUGAUUAUUUGGAUAAUCGAUGAAUCGGAUGGGGUCUCGACAUGAUUAAUCGAUUAAUCGGAUUACAUGGGGAAAUUUUUAAAAACUGCUAGGGAAACGUUAUUUCUCUCCUUCCUUCACUUUAUUUAACACAACAUUAUUAGAAAACAGUUCAAUAGCAGAAAAACAACAUGCCAUCACCUAAAUUGUCUUAUAAGGUGUAUAGACAGAGACCCUAAGCUACAUCUAUCUGUGACCUAAAAUGCUUGGUCCAAGUUAAACAGCUUAAGGGCAAUUCUCAUCUGUUUUGUUUGAUCUCAUCUGUUGACAUUUAUUAUAACUGGGGAUGUCAAACAACUAAUUUUUAAAUGUAAUUAAACAUUGGCUGUGAAUUAAUCAAAAUUAAUCACUAUUUCCAAAAAUGACUGAAAAAAUACCAAAUAAAACAAAAGUAAAUGAAUGCCAUCCUCCUUGUGAUGAUGCCCUGGGUAACUGCCAUAAAGUCACAUCAAGAAAUGCUGCUGAUCAUUCCAAUGAUCCCAAAUAGACUCACAUUAGGCCACAUGAAAGCAACUGAACCCAAAAAUAUAUUAACCAGUAUAUAACUGCACUCUCACACAACACGCCUGCAGCAACAGUUAGGACUCCUCCCUCCCUUUUAAAAGCGUUUUUGCUUCCGAGGACAUUGUGGUUGUAAAACCACAUGCUAGUGGUCUGGCCCCGGUGUGAUCAACCAGUUUCUGUGGGAAUGUGAUGGCGGAACCAGGGCCAGAUUAACACUUUGUUGUACCCUGGGCAACAAUAUUCAAGGGCUCCAUCAUCACGACCCAAGGAUCACCAUAAUGUGGUCACAUACAGAAUAUUUUACUGUAAUAUGCAGUAAAUAUACUCAAUACUUGAAUGCCUGACAACACGUAACCCGCCCAGAGUAACCUUUGACCCACCUCGUGUGGACUGACCAAUGAGGAGAGGGUCUUAACUUGAGGCCCUCUCUUCAUUGGUCAGUCUGUAUGAGACUGACCCUCAACUGACGUUCAGUCAUAGGCAGCGAAGCGUCUCUGUGCAGCGCAAAAGCCCGGGUGGACAGUUUGUUUAAUAGGGUGACCAUAUUUCCAUUUCCAAACAAGAGGACAGGGGAUCUGUGCCUAUGACGUCACACCAUGGCAAUGCCACACAAACCAUGUUGGGACCCAUUUUUUGUAAGAACUAAAUUGAUAUCAGAUUCUGCCAAUAAAAGGGCUCUAAAACAAUUCAUAUGUAAAUAUUUUGCAUAGUUAAUGCAAAAUCUCAUUUUUCUUCUUUAGUGCUGCAACAAGGUUUUAUUAAUAAUAAAUUAUUAUACCUUUUGUUUUACUACAGCAUUGGUAAGCUUCCUGUGCACAGAUUAUUAAGGAUGCUUUUUCAGCUGUGAGAUUAGACGAUAGGAUCAAUGAAAAAAUAAGUUGUCACACACUCCAUGGAAACUUUCAGAGAAUCCACAAAUAGUGGCUUUCACAUGGUUUUGUUACUUUUUGCAAGUUUAGAAAUGAAGCAGAUGAGACAGCAUGUCUGAUAAUUUAGUUUUUCAUCUGAUAAUAUUAGAACAUGUCAGUAAUGCCUGAGGGUUUUUUAUAAACACUGUAUAACUAACACUCCUGGAGAGGGUAUAAAUUACACAGAGGCUUCUG